Long non-coding RNA from Toxorhynchites rutilus septentrionalis, 802 nucleotides. RefSeq lists it as uncharacterized. NCBI's taxonomy places the organism in Eukaryota, Metazoa, Arthropoda, Insecta, Diptera, Culicidae. The transcript has 3 exons. The record is from RefSeq and is a predicted model, not a curated record.
CACGGUCGAAUCGAUACGUCGGUUGGAUUUUUCAUAGCAUUGGCUUUUUACUAGAAUUGCAAUGAUUGUGAGUUUCAGAUGAGUCCGUAUAGUGGAAGUGACUUUCCUACAAAAUAAUUAACAAAUGAACGCAAGGACAACGGAGAAUCUAUCGGAAGACAACCAGGAGAAAACCGUCAGAGGAAGCCACAGUGCAACAGGAAUUGAGAAAGGAAACUGAAGACAAAGUGGUGAAGUCUUACCGAUUGCUGGCUAGAAGAUUUGGGACAACCGGUCAAAUGCCUAAAGCAUAUUUGCAGAACAUGGUCAAACCAGCAGGGUGGAAUCCAAAAAAAAUGGCUCAUAAAGUAGAAGCAAAUGAACCGCAAAGAGGUUUCAAUCUUUAAUGCAACCGAAAAAGAAGAUCAUCUGACUGUUAAUGUUAUUUAGCUAAAUGAAACGUGAUGGUGUUGAAGGGCAAUGAUACAUACAGUAAACAUUCACUAACUGGGCGAGAAGAGAAGACCACUUAUCGACAUUCGCGUUUUAACUGGUCCGGCAUGUUAAACGUCAAAUAAAAUCGAGGGAAACUUCAAUGAAUUGUUUGAUUCUCUUAGUUCCUGUAAUUGGAUAAAUAAAAGGAUUCCAAUGGAAGUUUCGCAUUGAGUGCGACAACAGGUAUGACAUAUGAUUUGAGAAAAUUGUUUUUCUGUAGUUUAAUCAAUGUUUUUGUCGUGCGAAAAUAAUGUCAACUUUCAUAACAUUUAAAAUUACAUUCGAAUGCCCCUCACAGCAAAUCUUCCAUUUGAAUAUGGCGUCGAUU